CCUACGGGUGGCAGCAGUGAGGAAUAUUGGUCAAUGGGCGAGAGCCUGAACCAGCCAAGUCGCGUGAAGGAUGACGGCCCUACGGGUUGUAAACUUCUUUUGUCAGGGCGCAAUUGGGUCCACGCGUGGGCUUAGCGAGAGUACCUGAAGAAAAAGCAUCGGCUAACUCCGUGCCAGCAGCCGCGGUAAUACGGAGGAUGCGAGCGUUAUCCGGAUUUACUGGGUGUAAAGGGAGCUUAGACGGCAGCACAAGUCUGGAGUGAAAUCCCGGGGCUUAACCCCGGAACUGCUUUGGAAACUGUGCGGCUGGAGUGCAGGAGGGGUAAGCGGAAUUCCUAGGGUAGCGGUGAAAUGCGUAGAUAUUAGGAGGAACACCGGUGGCGAAGGCGGCUUACUGGACUGUAACUGACGUUGAGGCUCGAAAGCGUGGGGAGCAAACAGGAUUAGAUACCCGGGUAGUC
Molecule: ribosomal RNA, 461 nt
Filed under: uncultured bacterium
Lineage: Bacteria
Description: partial 16S ribosomal RNA
Rfam family: Bacterial small subunit ribosomal RNA
Source: RNAcentral